UAUACCGUAGCUUGCUACACCAUAGACUGUGAGUUGCGAACGGGUGAGUAACGCGUAGGUAACCUGCCUAUUAGAGGGGGAUAACUAUUGGAAACGAUAGCUAAUACCGCAUAACAGUAUGUAACACAUGUUAGAUGCUUGAAAGAUGCAAUUGCAUCGCUAGUAGAUGGACCUGCGUUGUAUUAGCUAGUAGGUAGGGUAAAGGCCUACCUAGGCAACGAUACAUAGCCGACCUGAGAGGGUGAUCGGCCACACUGGGACUGAGACACGGCCCAGACUCCUACGGGAGGCAGCAGUAGGGAAUCUUCGGCAAUGGGGGGAACCCUGACCGAGCAACGCCGCGUGGGUGAAGAAGGUUUUCGGAUCGUAAAGCUCUGUUGUUAAGGAAGAACGAGUGUGAGAAUGGAAAGUUCAUGCUGUGAC
This 423-nucleotide ribosomal RNA is filed under the name Streptococcus anginosus. RNAcentral's name for it is "bacterial SSU rRNA". It matches the Rfam family "Bacterial small subunit ribosomal RNA", at positions 68 to 473 of the family's 1533-position model. The record is from RNAcentral. Lineage: Bacteria; Bacillati; Bacillota; Bacilli; Lactobacillales; Streptococcaceae.